RNAcentral lists this transfer RNA (89 nucleotides) under Parcubacteria group bacterium CG1_02_58_44. Its description in RNAcentral is "tRNA-Ser". It matches the Rfam family "tRNA". Rfam says of the family: Transfer RNA (tRNA) molecules are approximately 80 nucleotides in length. Their secondary structure includes four short double-helical elements and three loops (D, anti-codon, and T loops). RNAcentral also lists the same sequence under 1 other name. The record is from RNAcentral.
GGAGGGCUGCGCCGAAUGGUAAGGCACCAGUUUGCUAAACUGUGACCAUGUGAAUGGUCCUGUGGGUUCGAGCCCCACGCCCUCCGCCA